This 292-nucleotide ribosomal RNA is filed under the name uncultured bacterium. Its description in RNAcentral is "partial 16S ribosomal RNA". It matches the Rfam family "Bacterial small subunit ribosomal RNA", at positions 505 to 796 of the family's 1533-position model. The record is from RNAcentral.
GUGCCAGCAGCCGCGGUAAUACGUAGGGGGCUAGCGUUGUCCGGAAUCAUUGGGCGUAAAGAGCGUGUAGGCGGCUCGGUAAGUCCGCUGUGAAAGUCCAGGGCUCAACCCUGGAAUGCCAGUGGAAACUGUCGAGCUAGAGUCCGGAAGAGGCGAGUGGAAUUCCUGGUGUAGCGGUGAAAUGCGCAGAUAUCAGGAGGAACACCAAUGGCGAAGGCAGCUCGCUGGGACGGUACUGACGCUGAGACGCGAAAGCGUGGGGAGCAAACAGGAUUAGAUACCCUUGUAGUCC